GCACUGCUGACGUGUCCCAAACAGGACGAAAUAGCUGUCCAGUGC
Molecule: non-coding RNA, 45 nt
Filed under: Echinostoma caproni
Lineage: Eukaryota; Metazoa; Platyhelminthes; Trematoda; Plagiorchiida; Echinostomatidae
Source: RNAcentral